This is a long non-coding RNA of Fopius arisanus, 1296 nucleotides long. RefSeq lists it as uncharacterized. The transcript has 3 exons. NCBI's taxonomy places the organism in Eukaryota, Metazoa, Arthropoda, Insecta, Hymenoptera, Braconidae. The record is from RefSeq and is a predicted model, not a curated record.
UCAGCCAUCAGCCACCAACCGUCAACCGCCAACCGCCAACCGCCCGUCGACCAAAGGUGCUUGACAGUUCGCGUCUUCCUUCCUUCCGCCUACACAAUCAUCCAACCGAUUAAUCAUUCUCCUUGUUGACAAAUACAUCUCACCCCGUCCAUCUCGUUUACCAAUCUUAAUUAAUACCCGAAGCAUAUUUGGUAAACCUCCGACUCCAUUUUUACCUCAAGUCAAUUUGUAAAUUUGAAAUCUAUACAAUUUACUGUUCGUUAACCAUUAACAAGCCUCACUUGCUCCAACUAAGACGCCACGCUUACACAACUAUCAUUGCUCUGACAGACAUGUCCAAUGACUUCUCAUUAGCCUUUCAAUCUUUAGUUUUUCUACAGUUACAGUUCUGUGAAACUUUAUCGUAUGCAGACUGCUUUCCCUCUCUUUCUGUUUUUCAAAUGCACAAAACUUUGGUUAUCGGUAAGCAUAUGAAUUAUUUGUUUCUGAAUAUAAAGUUGACAAGGUUAAUGACACCGGGAAAUAGUGAGAGUGAAAAGACGAUUAUAGUGAUGAAUAUUAACUUGAAAGUUACGACGAAUAUUUGUUCAACCUGAGAACUGCGUGUUAUUCACUCAUGGAUUUUCGGAAUAAAUACUGAGAGGAGCCGAGAUACACUUUUAUUAUCGAUGAAACGAAGCUAGAGCACAGGAAAACAUGAGCAUAUUGUUAUUUUGCUUGAACAAUGACGAAAAUUUACAUACACGACUGACGGUGAAGAGAGCGUCUUCGGCUUUCUUUUCUAUGGUGUAAAAAUAGCCCGACAACUGUGGAAAGGGAAGCGGGUGGAUAGUUGUAUACGGACAAAUAUAACUCCGACGAGUUAUUCUGGAGCUGGGAUCCUCUUAAUUAGAACAAUUAACCGAGUCCGAGAAUAAAGUGGUAUGACGCAUACUUAGCUUGGUCAGGCGUACGAAUUGUGUUUUAUUAUUACGUUGCAACGUUACUACUGCAUAAUUCGGCUCCCUCAUUGCAGUUAACAAUCCUCAUGGCUUGUAAGUUUUUUUUCUCUGAGAUAUUCGACCAUCUUCUUUGCACUCUGUUAUUUGAUAAACCUGCAGAAGUAUUUUCUCAGGAUUAUUCUCCAGUGAUACAUUCUAUUUUCAUUAAGUAGAAUUAUUCUCUUUCCUUUUCACCAUCUGGAGUGAAAACUUAAAAAUUCGUAGAUAUACCACUCAGGGACAGAAAAAAAUUCAUUGCCCAAAAUCCGGUAUUCACAUUAUAGAUUCCAUUAAUGAUAAACAUAUGCUCUGGAGA